GACGAACGCUGGCGGCGUGCUUAACACAUGCAAGUCGAACGGAAAGGCCCUGCUUGCAGGGUACUCGAGUGGCGAACGGGUGAGUAACACGUGGGUGAUCUGCCCUGCACUUCGGGAUAAGCCUGGGAAACUGGGUCUAAUACCGGAUAGGAGCCAUUUUUAGUGUGAUGGUUGGAAAGUUUUUCGGUGUAGGAUGAGCUCGCGGCCUAUCAGCUUGUUGGUGGGUAAUGGCCUACCAAGGCGGCGACGGGUAGCCGGCCUGAGAGGGUGGACGGCCACAUUGGGACUGAGAUACGGCCCAGACUCCUACGGGAGGCAGCAGUGGGGAAUAUUGCACAAUGGGCGCAAGCCUGAUGCAGCGACGCCGCGUGGGGGAUGACGGCUCGGGUUGUAACUCUUCGCUAGGGACGAAGCUUUUUUUGUGACGGUACCUAGAUAAGAAGCACCGGCUAACUACGUGCCAGCCGCCG
This 470-nucleotide ribosomal RNA is filed under the name uncultured bacterium. RNAcentral describes it as "bacterial SSU rRNA". It matches the Rfam family "Bacterial small subunit ribosomal RNA", at positions 28 to 517 of the family's 1533-position model. The record is from RNAcentral.